RNAcentral lists this long non-coding RNA (445 nucleotides) under Rattus norvegicus (Norway rat). RNAcentral describes it as "long non-coding RNA NONRATT023713". The record is from RNAcentral. Lineage: Eukaryota; Metazoa; Chordata; Mammalia; Rodentia; Muridae.
CUCCUCUUCCACCUCAGAAGAUGAGCGGCCCAAGAGAUCCCAUGUGAAGAAUGGUGAGGUAGGCAGGCGGCGGAGACAUUCUCCUUCUCGGAGUGCCUCUCCAUCACCUCGAAAGCGCCAAAAAGAGACUUCCCCUCGUAGUAGAAGGAGGAGAAGUCCUUCCCCACCUCCUGCCAGAAGACGACGAUCUCCUUCUCCAGCCCCUCCUCCCCCUCCUCCCCCACCUCCUCGGCGGCGCAGAUCUCCCACCCCACCACCACGACGAAGGUACUGUGUCCAAUUGACUCAUGGUAACUCUGGGUCUUUGUGAUAGAAGUUGCUUUGUGAGAGACAUUGCAUUGUGUGUCGUAAAGCGUCACAUAAGUGUGAGCUCCUUUAUGGGUCACAGAACUCUGUAGAAACAGAAAAUAGGUCAGGGCAGCAGUGAUGCUAACCUCUGAUCCCA